Molecule: ribosomal RNA, 551 nt
Filed under: uncultured bacterium
Lineage: Bacteria
Description: bacterial SSU rRNA
Rfam family: Bacterial small subunit ribosomal RNA
Source: RNAcentral
GGGGGAUUUUGGGCAAUGGGCGCAAGCCUGACCCAGCGACGCCGCGUGGGGGAUGAAGGCCUUCGGGUUGUAAACCUCUGUCAGGCGGGAAGAAGGUCCCGCCGGUUAAUACCCGGCGGGAAUUGACGGUACCGCCAAAGGAAGCCCCGGCUAACUCCGUGCCAGCAGCCGCGGUAAUACGGAGGGGGCGAGCGUUGUUCGGAUUUACUGGGCGUAAAGCGCGCGUAGGCGGCUAGGUAAGUCAAAGGUGAAAGCCCUCGGCUCAACCGAGGAACUGCCUUUGAAACUGCUUUGCUUGAGUCCGGGAGGGGGGAGCGGAAUUCCCAGUGUAGCGGUGAAAUGCGUAGAUACUGGGAGGAACACCGGUGGCGAAGGCGGCUCCCUGGACCGGUACUGACGCUGAGGUGCGAAAGCGUGGGUAGCAAACAGGAUUAGAUACCCUGGUAGUCCACGCCGUAAACGAUGGGCACUAGGUGCAGCGGGUGUCGACCCCUGCUGUGCCGAAGCUAACGCAUUAAGUGCCCCGCCUGGGGAGUACGGUCGCAAGGCUG